Molecule: long non-coding RNA, 646 nt
Filed under: Elaeis guineensis (African oil palm)
Lineage: Eukaryota; Viridiplantae; Streptophyta; Magnoliopsida; Arecales; Arecaceae
Description: long non-coding RNA (EGUI_LNC082397)
Source: RNAcentral
GAUUGAGAACAAGUUCGAUGAUUCCUUAUGUUAAGACUGGAACAGACUUCCAUAUCUUGCAUUCAAGACUCUCUUAUAGUUUUCAAAUCUUAUACUAUCUUGAAGUCUUUUGCAACUAUUUGCAAACAUGAUUUAUACUGUCAGUAUCCUAUAUCCUGAUAGUAGGAUUACAAAUAGAAAAACUUCAAGGAGUUAUCACAUAACAUCUUGACCAGCAAUAAUUUACUGAUUUCUCUUUUAAACCUGUUUGGGUUAGCCUGAGACUUCUUGAUUAAUUCUCUCAAAAACUAUAUUCAACUUUCGAUAUUGGCUAUCGAAGUUAGGUCUGAUAACAUUUUUACUGUCUAGCAGUGAAGAAAAUGACUAUUUUUUAGUCAUUUCUGAAAAGAGAAUAAUUGACCUAUUAGUAUAUAAAUUAUUUUAAGCUUAGAUACUUGGAUUUCAGUCUAAAGGUUCUUCCACUAUUUUAUAUGAAUUGGUAGCCUCUACCUUCAAUUCGAAGAAUUACUUUAAUUCCUUAACAGGUGCUAGAAUCCAUAUAGACUGCAUUCAGGUCCGAGUGUGGCUCGGCCAACUCUAGUGCAUCUAUGGAUAGGUUCAUAACCAAUUAUUUUUUUAAAUAAUUUCUAGCAAUCAAAUUUUGCCC